GACGAACGCUGGCGGCGUGCUUAACACAUGCAAGUCGAACGGAAAGGCCCUGCUUUUGUGGGGUGCUCGAGUGGCGAACGGGUGAGUAACACGUGAGUAACCUGCCCUUGACUUUGGGAUAACUUCAGGAAACUGGGGCUAAUACCGGAUAGGAGCUCCUGCUGCAUGGUGGGGGUUGGAAAGUUUCGGCGGUUGGGGAUGGACUCGCGGCUUAUCAGCUUGUUGGUGGGGUAGUGGCUUACCAAGGCUUUGACGGGUAGCCGGCCUGAGAGGGUGACCGGCCAAAUUGGGACUGAGAUACGGCACAGACUCCUACGGGAGGCAGCAGUGGGGAAUAUUGCACAAUGGGCGGAAGCCGGAUGCAGCAACGCCGCGUGCGGGAUGACGGCAUUCGGGUGGUAAACCGAUGUCGCCUGUGACGAAGCGUGAGUGACGGUAAUGGGUAAAGAAGCACCGGCUAACUACGUG
This 468-nucleotide ribosomal RNA is filed under the name uncultured bacterium. RNAcentral's name for it is "partial 16S ribosomal RNA". It matches the Rfam family "Bacterial small subunit ribosomal RNA", at positions 28 to 507 of the family's 1533-position model. The record is from RNAcentral.